RNAcentral lists this long non-coding RNA (1446 nucleotides) under Gossypium barbadense (sea-island cotton). Its description in RNAcentral is "long non-coding RNA (GBAR_LNC014546)". The record is from RNAcentral. Lineage: Eukaryota; Viridiplantae; Streptophyta; Magnoliopsida; Malvales; Malvaceae.
GUUGCACUCAGUUAAUACAUAACAAACCACUGGCCUCUAAUUCCCCCACAUUCAUCCCCAUUAGCAAACAACACAAUGCAGGCAUAUGUAUCAUCAACCGAGCAAAAAGAUUCAAAUAUACUUCAAAAGUGAUUUGAUGCUCAUAAUUUCUCCAUCAAACCUAAUUUCAAAAGGAGACAACAACAAUUGAUAAGCUAAUUUAGCCAAUGAUUUGGCUCAAGAAUGUAGGAGAAACUGAAUUUGCUUUAGAUAUGCAAUCAUCAAACAUGACCAAAAAUUUCUAGUUCAUAGCAUGAGCAAUAGCAUGCAAUUAUCUAGAUUCUAGAGGUUCAUAGUUAAGACAAAGCUUAGCAUCGAACAAAGUAAGCUUCCAAAAAUUUAAGAACAAAAUCAAAAGAGUAGUUCAAAACCAAGUAAAUGACAAAGGCUGAUUAUAAAAUGUAUAAUCACUUAAUGGAAACUAAUUACUAUUUUACAACCUUACCACAACCAGAAACUAUUAACCAUAAUAUUAAACUGAUAUACAAGAAAUUAAAAAAAAAAAAACAACGCAUCAUAAACAAAUAAACAACAAAGAAAACCACACAGAAUUUUCACUAAUACAACAAAAGCUUCUCUUUGAUUUUCAUGGACUUCACCAGUUUUCACAUAUCUGCUUGCAGAGUGUUUGUGAAUUUGACAAAUAUAAACAAGAUAUCUACUCUCUCUGAAAUUACUGAAUUACUGGUUACUUUAACAAAACAAAAAAAUAUUGCACGGAAUAAUGUGCCAUCUUUGGCUGCAAAAGAAAAUAGAAAGAAGCUUCAUGAAUGCAAAAUUUGUCAUAGAAAAAUGGAAAUAUGAUUUAGUGAAAGAAGUAUAUGCUUUAAACUUUUUGAUGUUGGUCUUUGAAAAAUCAGGAUUUAUAAAUUACACCGCACUAAAUUUAUAUGAAAUCACCAUCAGAAAGCAAGGGAUAUUAAACCCAGAAAAACUUUCAUUAACUAAAACUACUGAAGAGUAAAAGAUUCAUAACCAUGAAAUCAGCAUUAAACUACUGAAGAAUAAAAAGCCACAAGCGCAAUUAUACAAUAAUUCCAAUGAAAUCAGCAACAAUGAAUAAAAUAAAAUAGCAAUUUCAACAGAAACUACUGAAGAGUAAAAGAUUCAUAACCAUGCAAAAAUCUUACAAUUUGAUAAAAGAGCGUCGAACAAACUUAAGAAUUGGCAGAUUAAUUUGGGUCAAAAUUAAAACUCACCCGAUAUUGGAUCCUACGUGAUGACCCGAAAAACGCUUCACUCUUUUUUCAAUGGAUUAAGCUAUCAGGAAUUUCCAAUUUUGUGAAUAUAUUGAAGAGAAAAAGAGAGUUUUGGUGUGCGGCGCAGAUAGGGUUGGGAGGAAAUGGGGAAGGGAAAUUAGACGCCGAGACGAGAAGAAACGAUGAGGACAGAAUCAUCAACGGAAGC